Molecule: long non-coding RNA, 1354 nt
Filed under: Homo sapiens (human)
Lineage: Eukaryota; Metazoa; Chordata; Mammalia; Primates; Hominidae
Description: non-protein coding lnc-INSL4-4:1
Source: RNAcentral
UAUUCCGACAAUUAUGCUGUUACCAAUAAUAUGAUUCUCUAAAAAUUCUAUAAUCUGAAUUAACAUGACCAUCCACAGCCUACUUAUCAGCCUCAUCACCCUAUUGUUUUUUAACCAAUUCAACAGUAACUCAUCCAACUUCUCACUAGUUUUCUCUUCUGAUCUGCUGAUGUCACCCCUCCUAAUUUUAACAGCCUAUUACCUUUUAUAAUCCUAGCAAGCCAAUAUUAACUGUUCAAUGAAUCACCCCCACAAAAAAGCUCUAUAUUUCUAUAUUGAUUUCCCUGCAGAUUUUUUAAAAUUAUAGCAUUCACAGCCACAGAACUAAUUAUAUUUUAUAUUUUCUUUGAAGCCACACUAAUUCCUACCCUAAUUAUUAUUAUCACCCGCUGAGGGAACCAACCAGAACGCCUCAAUGCAAGCUCAUAUUUCCUAUUGUACACACUAGUAGGGUCCCUUCCUCUACUUGUUACACUUGUCUACACUUUAAAUACUUCAGAUUCUCUAAAUAUGCUAGUAAUGAUAUUUACUGACCAAGAACUGUUAGCCUCCUUAUCCAAUAAUCUUAUAUGACUAGCAUGUAUUAUGGCCUUUAUAGUAAAAAUAACUCUAUUCGGACUUCACCUGUGACUCCCAAAAGCCCAUGUAGAAGCCCCUAUUGCCGGCUCAACAGUACUUGCAGCGGUACUCCUAAAACUAGGCGGCUGCGGUAUAAUACGGCUUACCCUUAUCCUCAGCCCCCUAACAGAAUAUAUAGCCUACCCCUUCCUCACACUAUCCCUAUGAGGGAUAGUUAUGACAAGCUCCAUUUGUCUACAAACCGAUGUAAAAUCAGUUAUUGCCUACUCCUCUGUAAGCCAUAUACCACUUGUCAUCAUAGCUCUCCUAAUCCAAACCCCUUGAAGCUUUACAGGUGCCGUCACCCUUAUAAUUACCCAUGGAGUCACUUCAUCCCUGUUAUUCUGCCUAGCAAAUUCCAACUACGAGUGAGUCCAAAACGGAAUCAUAUACUUACCUGAGGCCUUCAAAUACUCCUCCCACUGAUAUAGCCUCAUGAUGACUUCUAGCAAAUCUCACUAAUCUUGCCUUACCCCUACCAUUAAUCUAGUAAGGGAACUCUCUGUGAUCAUGGCUUCAUUCUCCUGAUCAAACAUCACUAUUAUGCUUACAGGACUUAAUAUACUAAUUACAACCCUCUACUCCCUACAUGUACCAAUCACAACACAAUGAGGGACACUUACAUAUUACAUUAACAGUUAAACCUUCCUUUACACGAGAAAAUACAUUAAUAUUUAUACAUGUUACACCUAUUCUUCUAUUAUCCUAAAUCCUAAAAUUAUUAUGGGCUUUACAU